CUAUUCACAUAAAAAAAACUAUUUGCUUGGAAAAUCAAGAAUUUUUCAUUUACUAUACUAAACUAAGAUAUGAAAAUAUGAACACAGAUUGAAGUAAUUAAAUAACAGAAACCAUGCUCAACAUUAACCAUCUUACCCCGAGCAAGAAGCUUGUAUUCAAAAGUCAUUGAAGCAGCUAAUAACUGAAUCAUGAAUUAAUGGGUUAAAGAAUAGAGAGGC
Molecule: long non-coding RNA, 219 nt
Filed under: Elaeis guineensis (African oil palm)
Lineage: Eukaryota; Viridiplantae; Streptophyta; Magnoliopsida; Arecales; Arecaceae
Description: long non-coding RNA (EGUI_LNC030655)
Source: RNAcentral